RNAcentral lists this ribosomal RNA (870 nucleotides) under uncultured bacterium. Its description in RNAcentral is "bacterial SSU rRNA". It matches the Rfam family "Bacterial small subunit ribosomal RNA", at positions 8 to 898 of the family's 1533-position model. The record is from RNAcentral.
AGAGUUUGAUCCUGGCUCAGGACGAACGCUGGCGGCGUGCUUAACACAUGCAAGUCGAGCGAUGAAACCCUUCGGGGUGGAUUAGCGGCGGACGGGUGAGUAACACGUGGGUAACCUGCCUCAAAGAGGGGGAUAGCCUCCCGAAAGGGAGAUUAAUACCGCAUAACAUUAGUUUUUCGCAUGGAGAACUAAUUAAAGGAGUAAUCCGCUUUGAGAUGGACCCGCGGCGCAUUAGCUAGUUGGUGAGGUAACGGCUCACCAAGGCGACGAUGCGUAGCCGACCUGAGAGGGUGAUCGGCCACAUUGGAACUGAGACACGGUCCAGACUCCUACGGGAGGCAGCAGUGGGGAAUAUUGCACAAUGGGCGAAAGCCUGAUGCAGCAACGCCGCGUGAGUGAUGAAGGCCUUCGGGUUGUAAAGCUCUGUCUUUUGGGACGAUAAUGACGGUACCAAAGGAGGAAGCCACGGCUAACUACGUGCCAGCAGCCGCGGUAAUACGUAGGUGGCAAGCGUUGUCCGGAUUUACUGGGCGUAAAGGAUGCGUAGGCGGAUUUUUAAGUGAGAUGUGAAAUUCCCGGGCUUAACUUGGGAGCUGCAUUUCAAACUGGAAGUCUAGAGUGCGGGAGAGGAAAGUGGAAUUCCUAGUGUAGCGGUGAAAUGCGUAGAGAUUAGGAAGAACACCAGUGGCGAAGGCGACUUUCUGGACCGUAACUGACGCUGAGGCAUGAAAGCGUGGGUAGCAAACAGGAUUAGAUACCCUGGUAGUCCACGCCGUAAACGAUGAGUACUAGGUGUAGGAGGUAUCGACCUUCUGUGCCGCAGUUAACACAAUAAGUACUCCGCCUGGGAAGUACGAUCGCAAGAUUAAA